This 931-nucleotide ribosomal RNA is filed under the name Saccharomycetales sp. LM359. RNAcentral describes it as "eukaryotic LSU rRNA". The stretch from base 1 to 353 matches the Rfam family "Eukaryotic small subunit ribosomal RNA", at positions 1479 to 1831 of the family's 1831-position model. Lineage: Eukaryota; Fungi; Ascomycota; Saccharomycetes; Saccharomycetales. The record is from RNAcentral.
GUUCUGGGCCGCACGCGCGCUACACUGACGGAGCCAGCAAGUAUAUCCUUGGUCGAGAGGCCCGGGUAAUCUCGUGAAACUCCGUCGUGCUGGGGAUAGAGCAUUGUAAUUUUUGCUCUUCAACGAGGAAUUCCUAGUAAGCGCAAGUCAUCAGCUUGCGUUGAUUACGUCCCUGCCCUUUGUACACACCGCCCGUCGCUACUACCGAUUGAAUGGCUUAGUGAGGCUCCAAGAUUGGCGCCGCGGGAGGGGCAACUUUCCCAUGGCGCUGAAAAUUCAGUCAAACUUGGUCAUUUAGAGGUCGUAAAAGUCGUAACAAGGUUUCCGUAGGUGAACCUGCGGAAGGAUCAUUACUGUGAUUUAUAUCUUAUACACAUGCGUGAGCGCACCAAACACCUAAAAUUGUAAUACUAAUUGUCAGUAAGUUUUAACAAAACAAAACUUUCAACAACGGAUCUCUUGGUUCUCGCAUCGAUGAAGAGCGCAGCGAAAUGCGAUACCUAGUGUGAAUUGCAGCCAUCGUGAAUCAUCGAGUUCUUGAACGCACAUUGCGCCCCAUGGUAUUCCAUGGGGCAUGCCUGUCUGAGCGUCGUUUCCUUCUUGCGCAAGCAGAGUUGAGAACAGGCUAUGCCUUUUUCGAAAUGGAACGUCGUGGACGAAGUGAACUAAACAUUUAGCACGCUUUGGCCGCCGAACUUUUAACUAAGCUCGACCUCAGAUCAGGUAGGAAUACCCGCUGAACUUAAGCAUAUCAAUAAGCGGAGGAAAAGAAACCCACAGGGAUUGCCUUAAUAGCGGCGAGUGAAGCGGCAAGAGCUCAAAUUUGAAAUCUCCCUAGUGUGCGAGUUGUAAAUUGCAGGUUGGAGUCUCGGGUUAACGUGGGGUGCAGUCCCCUUGGAACAGGGGGCCCUGAGGGGGAAAGCCCCCUAUC